UACGUAGGCAGCGAGCGUUGUUCGGAGUUACUGGGCGUAAAGGGUGUGUAGGCGGUUCUUUAAGUUUGGUGUGAAAUCUCCCGGCUCAACCGGGAGGGUGCGCCGAAUACUGAGGGACUAGAGUAUGGGAUGGGAAAGUGGAAUUCCUGGUGUAGCGGUGAAAUGCGUAGAUAUCAGGAGGAACACCUGUGGUGUAGACGGCUUUCUGGACCAUAACUGACGCUGAGACACGAAAGCGUGGGUAGCAAAC
This 250-nucleotide ribosomal RNA is filed under the name uncultured bacterium. Its description in RNAcentral is "partial 16S ribosomal RNA". It matches the Rfam family "Bacterial small subunit ribosomal RNA", at positions 524 to 773 of the family's 1533-position model. The record is from RNAcentral.